This is a long non-coding RNA of Tarenaya hassleriana, 514 nucleotides long. RefSeq lists it as uncharacterized. NCBI's taxonomy places the organism in Eukaryota, Viridiplantae, Streptophyta, Magnoliopsida, Brassicales, Cleomaceae. The transcript has 2 exons. The record is from RefSeq and is a predicted model, not a curated record.
CUCUCUCUCUCUCUCUCUCUCUCUCUCUCUCUCUCUCUCUAAGCCCUCUCUGGAUGCCGGUGGAAGCAGCUCGGGAUGUGUCAGAUUUCUUUGUUUGAUCAGAGGAUUUUGAUUCGGAUUUGGUGAAUUAACCAAAGAGAAAACGGAAGAUUCUAGGAUUAGAAGGAACAAAAAAAAAUCUGAAAACGACAUCGUUGAUGAAUCUAACUGAGAUGAUCUUCUACCUGGAGAAAUCCUCUUCAACUCUGGUAGACAUCUUCUUAAUGUCUAUGGAACGAGGUUUACCAAAUGAUUUUGCCUGAGAUGGGGACUUCGGCUUAGUUUGAAAUUGGGCUGUUUCAGGUUUCGCCGGAAAGAUGACCGGAAAACCCAGAGAGAGAAAGACGAGAGAGAAAACUGAGCAGAGAGAAUGAAAAAUUUCUCCAGUUGUAUUACUCUGUUUUUUCUGUACAGAUGUUAAAUACACUUCCGAUUGUAUAAACCGCCAUAUAACUAACUAACAGAUUUCUAAACA